Small nuclear RNA from Vulpes vulpes (red fox), 102 nucleotides. The record is from Ensembl. Lineage: Eukaryota; Metazoa; Chordata; Mammalia; Carnivora; Canidae.
GUGCUCGCUUCAGCAACACACAUACUGCAAUAGGAACAAAACAGAGAUUAGUGUGGCCCCUGCACAGAGAACACCUACAUUUGUGAAGGGGUCUAUGUAUGU